This is a non-coding RNA of Paramuricea clavata, 570 nucleotides long. The record is from the annotation of a GenBank genome assembly. NCBI's taxonomy places the organism in Eukaryota, Metazoa, Cnidaria, Anthozoa, Malacalcyonacea, Plexauridae.
CCAUAAUCAUCAUUCAUUAAUAAGUAUGUUGUAAUAUGUUGAUGAGCAAUCUUUUGCUUUUUCAAAUUUAGAGGGCUAUAUAUAACAAAUCAGUCAUUGGUAACGCUAGAUGAUCUUCAUUCAAGAUUCAUUAUCGUAAAGGAAUCAUCGGCAAGAAAUGGUCUUUUCAUUGGCUGAUAAAAAUGGACCUUGGGUAGAUGUUUGCCAGGUUGUAUAUUUCUUGUAGCCUUUGACUUGCAUAAGGAAAAGAAAAUAUAUGCUGAAACUACAUGCUAGACGAUGAAAUCAUUGUUGAAGAACAUAUUAGUUAUGUUUAUAUAGAAAAAGAACACUGUAAAGUCACCUUGUACUGGACAGAGUAAUGUAAUAAGUGCAGAGCUCGGCACAACUAAUCUACAUCACCAUUUGCAGUUUAAAUGGUAAUAAAUGUGAUAUUUUACAUUCAUCCAGCUUUACAGUCUUACAUUUUGAGGAGCAAUGCAGUACAAAACUUAAAUGUGCCCUACUAACCUACUGCCCUUUCAUUAUAUUACUCUAUCUAAUAGCAUAUAAGCUUAUAUUUCAUUAAGG